ACCCAAUAGAUACCCUGGUAGUCCACGCCGUAAACGAUGAGUGCUAAGUGUUAGAGGGUUUCCGCCCUUUAGUGCUGCAGCUAAACGCAUUAAGCACUCCGCCUGGGGAGUACGGCCGCAAGGCUGAAACUCAAAGGAAUUGACGGGGGCCCGCACAAGCGGUGGAGCAUGUGGUUUAAUUCGAAGCAACGCGAAGAACCUUACCAGGUCUUGACAUCCUCUGACACUCCUAGAGAUAGGACGUUCCCCUUCGGGGGACAGAGUGACAGGUGGUGCAUGGUUGUCGUCAGCUCGUGUCGUGAGAUGUUGGGUUAAGUCCCGCAACGAGCGCAACCCUUGAUCUUAGUUGCCAGCAUUCAGUUGGGCACUCUAAGGUGACUGCCGGUGACAAACCGGAGGAAGGUGGGGAUGACGUCAAAUCAUCAUGCCCCUUAUGACCUGGGCUACACACGUGCUACAAUGGAUGGUACAAAGGGCAGCAAAGCCGCGAGGCCUAGCCAAUCCCAUAAAACCCAUUCUCAGUUCGGAUUGUA
Molecule: ribosomal RNA, 533 nt
Filed under: uncultured bacterium
Lineage: Bacteria
Description: bacterial SSU rRNA
Rfam family: Bacterial small subunit ribosomal RNA
Source: RNAcentral